AACACUGUGUUAAUGGUUAUGAACAAACUGGGUUGUGGCUUUAAAUGGGUGCAUCGGAUACACAGAUGAUAUAAACUGCCCCCACAUUUACUGCAAAAAUCCAGUUGAAAGUCCGCCACAUGUACCAGUCUGUUAUAAAUACGAAAGUAAAGAAGCCUCCUGGGCUUUUAUUACAGCAGGAGAUGUGCUACAGAUGCAUUUUUUUCAAAGUUAUUGCACCCGUACAAAUAGAUAUAUAUAUAUAUAUAUAUAUAUAUUUUUCAUCCUGUUCUCAAUUUUCAAAACCAGCCCAAAAAGAUGUAUCCAAGCCUCAGAAGCACCCACUUGAUCUCCUGGACUUUUCAAAACCCACUUUGUGCACAGAAAGGCUUUUUGGAAUGUUAAUGAGUGAACUUCAUGGACAUGUUAUCUUGUGGGAGCCUGAAAGUUGUACAGCUUUUGGAAAAUUGCACAUGCUUUUUCUGGUUGAAAAGCCAUCAUAUUCUCACAGUACAAAACUUGCCUUUAAGCACUAUUAGGGUUUGAAACCUAGUUCCCAUUUUGCACCAGAAUUGGCAAAAUAAAAAAGAUGGAGAAACAAAGGCAAAAAGAGGGAGGGAAUGUGUGAUGCUCCUUGCUGGCAAGGUUUUGUGAGAGACUGGAUUAGCACUAAGUGACACAGUCAAGGAGUUUGAGAUACUUUAAGUCCACACAACAUGAAUCUUCCAGCAAUGCUCCAAAUAUAACCAGUCUUGCACAUCCAUAUAGAGCAGACAGGCAGGGGUGAUGAGCACCUGUUUUGUUGGGUGGUUACUCCACAAUUUAGGGUUUGCAUGAAUCUGAUUGUUGAAUCAAACUGAAACCAGGGCUUCAUUCAAGCAGGCAGUGUAGCUGGAUGCUGUUGCCCAAGUGAAAGCUUCAUUGACUAGAUCCACUCACACAACCUUCCCCUUUUUGCUUGAUUUUGUACUCCAGUGCUCCAUGCCUGGAUUUGCCCUAUUUUUACCCACAGUGUAGUAUAGUGUAAGUUGCAAACUUGAGUGAAUCAAAUAACAUGUUUUUGGGCUGCAAACAGAAACACACCUGUAAAUUUUCAUCUAAACUGUGCACCAUGUUCUUGUUUAUAUUUGGUUCUGUGUCAAUGGAAUAUUACAUGAUUAUUAAAAAGUUCUCUGCAUCAAAUUACAUUGUCAUUUUUCAACACAUUCUUCAUUUCCCAAAGAAAUCAGCAUGUUAUAUGAGCAUUUGAGGAUGGUUAGACAGACAGACAGACAUGCAUACACUCUUUGGUUAAUGCACACACAGUAAUAAAAUGUUCCUACUGGUAUUAAGUAUUGUAUGGCACAUUUAUAAAAUAUUUCUUGAACCCACAAGUGCAUAUAAAAAUAUGAUACAGUUUCAGUAAUACUGGUCAAUUUAUUUCACAUCACCAAGAUGGUAAUAUACUUCAGAAACCCAUUGGGUACAAUGAAUAAUAAUAAUAAUGAUAAUAGUAAUAAAUCAUAGAGUGUAAUUUUCCCAUUUCUUUUAUUUUUUUAAUCACCAUAGGAAAGUGAGCAAAGGAAACCACAAGAAAUUUUCUAAUAAAUUAUAAAAUUUAAACAUUAUCAUCCUCUAUCAUAGUAUACUGGGAUUUCAAUACCACCAUCUCCUUGCAGGGCAUCCAAAAUUGUUCACUUAAACACACUACAAUCUAGAUCUCCAUAUAAUAUGGCCUGUAGAUUUAUAUUGAGUUUUACUCUUGAAUUGUUAUCAUACAAAAAAUAAAAAUAAAUAAAAGAGAAAAAAAAAGAUACCUCCUACCCAUUUCCAAAAAUCAAAGAAUCACACACAAACACAAAUGAUGUUUGUUGGCACACUUUUUACAAUUGUGGAUUUGUAAAACAAAAAAGGACUUCAUUCUGUUCUAUUUUGUCACAUCAUUCAUGGAAAACAAAAUCAAAACAAAUCAAAAAAAGGGUUUCAUUUGUUAUCAAACAAAGUUAGGGUUCAUUCAUCACAAGACAACACACAUGCUUUCCUUCAACUUUUCCAUCUAUAAUUUCCACCAAAACUGUCAUGAAGACAGAGACAGAUCAUAGUCCAAUUUUGUAGCAUAAUAUAUAUAUAUAUAUAUAUAUAUUUUCCAUCCUUGCACAAAAGAAUCUUAGCUGCAUAAAGAGGGAAAAAGCUGACUCUUCUGGCUAUGCUUCAGACAGCCAUGGCCGUGGGCAGUCCACAGAAAUGUCCAUGUGGUAUUACACAAUUGGCAUACACAGCAAAACCAUCACAUCUGGCAUCUGAACAAUGAGAGAAACAGGAUGCCAGAAAGGGGCCAAAAUGGGCAAAGGAGGGGGUGGCUGAUGGGAUCCAUCAGCCCUUUUGAACCUUCAUUUUCAACUGCAUCCUGAUCCCUUACAACUGUAUAAGAAUUCCCAACUUUGAUUGUUUGAUGAAGAUGCAGAAAUGAAGUUUUUCUCUGCCAUUCCUUUAAGCCACCAAAUAGCUGGCACCUGGAGCUGAGUCCUUAAUGUGUCAGCAAUGCUCUCCAAAAUGACACAUUUUCCACAGAUUUUCCACAAGUCUGGUAGCACUGAAACAGUAGUAACAUGACAAAGCUUGAUGGGUACAGAAUGCUAAUGCAUGCUUUUGUGGUGCACUAUGGACCAUAGUUAAUGGUUCUGUGUGCCUGUGAAAAGCCACCAUGACAAGGUGGGAUAAAACUAGUACAAGGUACAUAAAUUUCUGAAAGAAAAAAAGAAAAUGAACACAAGGGGAGGAGAAAAUAUAGAUACAAUAAUGUCAAUAAAUGGAGAUAUUUUUCAUGACAUGGGUUUUGCAUCUGGAUUCCUUGUCCACAUAUCCC
This 2824-nucleotide long non-coding RNA is filed under the name Physcomitrium patens. RNAcentral's name for it is "long non-coding RNA (PPAT_LNC008854)". Lineage: Eukaryota; Viridiplantae; Streptophyta; Bryopsida; Funariales; Funariaceae. The record is from RNAcentral.